RNAcentral lists this ribosomal RNA (292 nucleotides) under uncultured bacterium. RNAcentral describes it as "partial 16S ribosomal RNA". The record is from RNAcentral.
GGACUACCGGGGUAUCUAAUCCUGUUCGCUCCCCUAGCUUUCGCACCUCAGCGUCAGGUGAUCGCCAGGACACUGCCUUCGCCUUUGGUGUUCUUCCGGAUCUCUACGCAUUUCACCACUCCACCCGGAAUUCCGUGUCCCUCUCGAUCCCUCUAGUCUCUCCGUUUUGAAGGCACUCGUUCGGUGAAGCCGCUCGCUGUCACCCUCAACGCGAGAAACCGCCUGCGUGCCCUUUACGCCCAGUAACUCCGGACAACGCUUGCCCCCUACGUAUUACCGCGGCGGCUGGCAC